Molecule: non-coding RNA, 170 nt
Filed under: Thalassionema frauenfeldii
Lineage: Eukaryota; Bacillariophyta; Fragilariophyceae; Thalassionematales; Thalassionemataceae
Source: RNAcentral
GGAAGAAGCAAAAAGAGAAGAAGAAGAGGAUGUAAUGGACGAAGACGAUGAAUAACUUUUUUCAUAUUGAUUCACCCUAUCUUUGCUGUUUGUUUUGCUUUCGCUUUUUUGCCUUCAAUUUUACCACAAGACAGCAUUGUAUUGGUCUUAAGACUUGAAGAAGAGUAAAC